UGCGGUGGUUAUGGCUGGAGGGUCACACCCGGUCCCAUUCCGAACCCGGUCGUUAAGCCUCUUUGCGCCGAUGGUACUGCCUCCAUGGUGUGGGGUGGGAGAGUAGGUUGCCGCCGCAU
RNAcentral lists this ribosomal RNA (119 nucleotides) under Nocardiopsis halophila. Lineage: Bacteria; Bacillati; Actinomycetota; Actinomycetes; Streptosporangiales; Nocardiopsidaceae. RNAcentral also lists the same sequence under 1 other name. The record is from RNAcentral.